RNAcentral lists this long non-coding RNA (360 nucleotides) under Fragaria vesca (wild strawberry). RNAcentral's name for it is "long non-coding RNA (FVES_LNC003479)". Lineage: Eukaryota; Viridiplantae; Streptophyta; Magnoliopsida; Rosales; Rosaceae. The record is from RNAcentral.
AGAAUGUGAGCUGUUUCAACUCUGCAAACGCUUCAUCUCUUGGAACAUAUACGCUGCUGCUUCUUUCCUCAGAUAAUGGAUCUGCAUUUUACACGAUCAUAUGGUAAGAUAGAUAUCCUUAACAAUAAUCACACACACACAUAUAGCUAUUAUAGUACGUGUUGCAGCCUGAAAAUUCAAGUACUAAGUUAGUGGUGGUUACCCUUUUUAGUGCGUGGUCGUCCAGUUCUGCAACGCCUAGGGUACGGGUGCUCUUUGCCACCGAGGACAGGCCUGGCCAACUCGUCUUUGCUAUCCGGGUCUCCAAGAUCAUUGUAUGUAUCAUAAUCGUAAAUCCUUUCAGAUGCUUUUCGCUCACCC